GACGAACCACACGAACGUUAUUCGGAAUUACUGGGCUUAAAGGGUGCGUAGGCUGUGCAGAAAGUUAGGUGUGAAAUCCCCCGGCUCAACCGGGGAAUUGCGCUUAAAACUACUGUGCUAGAGGAAUACAGAGGUAAGCGGAACUUCGGGUGGAGCGGUGAAAUGCGUUGAUAUCCGAAGGAACACCGGUGGCGAAAGCGGCUUACUGGGUAUUUUCUGACGCUGAUGCACGAAAGCUAGGGGAGCAAACGGG
RNAcentral lists this ribosomal RNA (253 nucleotides) under uncultured bacterium. RNAcentral describes it as "partial 16S ribosomal RNA". It matches the Rfam family "Bacterial small subunit ribosomal RNA", at positions 524 to 776 of the family's 1533-position model. The record is from RNAcentral.